RNAcentral lists this ribosomal RNA (496 nucleotides) under uncultured archaeon. RNAcentral's name for it is "bacterial SSU rRNA". It matches the Rfam family "Archaeal small subunit ribosomal RNA", at positions 857 to 1351 of the family's 1478-position model. The record is from RNAcentral.
UAAAGGAAUUGGCGGGGGAGCACCACAAGGGGUGAAGCCUGCGGUUCAAUUGGAGUCAACGCCAGAAAUCUUACCCGGAGAGACAGCAGAAUGAAGGUCAAGCUGAAGACUUUACCAGACAAGCUGAGAGGUGGUGCAUGGCCGUCGCCAGCUCGUGCCGUGAGAUGUCCUGUUAAGUCAGGUAACGAGCGAGAUCCCUGCCUCUAGUUGCCACCAUUACUCUCAGGAGUAGUGGGGCGAAUUAGCGGGACCGCCGCAGUUAAUGCGGAGGAAGGAAGGGGCCACGGCAGGUCAGUAUGCCCCGAAACUCUGGGGCCACACGCGGGCUGCAAUGGUAAUGACAAUGGGUUCCAAAUCCGAAAGGAGGAGGUAAUCCCCAAACAUUACCACAGUUAUGACUGAGGGCUGCAACUCGCCCUCGUGAACCUGGAAUCCGUAGUAAUCGCGUCUCAAAAUGGCGCGGUGAAUACGUCCCUGCUCCUUGCACACACCGCCA